UACAGGGGGGGUAAGCGUUGUUCGGAAUUACUGGGCGUAAAGGGGCUGUAGGCGGUCAACUAAGUCCGACGUGAAAUCCCAAAGCUUAACUUUGGAACUGCGUCGGAUACUGGAUGGCUUGAAUUCGGGAGAGGGAUGCAGAAUUCCAGGUGUAGCGGUGAAAUGCGUAGAUAUCUGGAGGAAUACCGGUGGCGAAGGCGGCAUCCUGGACCGACAUUGACGCUGAAAACCGAAAGCUAGGGGAGCAAACGGG
RNAcentral lists this ribosomal RNA (253 nucleotides) under uncultured bacterium. RNAcentral describes it as "partial 16S ribosomal RNA". It matches the Rfam family "Bacterial small subunit ribosomal RNA", at positions 524 to 776 of the family's 1533-position model. The record is from RNAcentral.